Molecule: small nuclear RNA, 64 nt
Organism: Rattus rattus (black rat)
Lineage: Eukaryota; Metazoa; Chordata; Mammalia; Rodentia; Muridae
Product: U7 small nuclear RNA
Exons: 1
Source: RefSeq, a predicted model, not a curated record
AGGAAACACAGCUCUUUUAGAAUUUUUUUCUAGUAGCUUUUCUGACUUUGGUAAGAAAACCCAU